GACGAACGCUGGCGGCGUGCCUAAUACAUGCAAGUCGAGCGGACAGACGGGAGCUUGCUCCCUGAUGUUAGCGGCGGACGGGUGAGUAACACGUGGGUAACCUGCCUGUAAGACUGGGAUAACUCCGGGAAACCGGGGCUAAUACCGGAUGGUUGUCUGAACCGCAUGGUUCAGACAUAAAAGGUGGCUUCGGCUACCACUUACAGAUGGACCCGCGGCGCAUUAGCUAGUUGGUGAGGUAACGGCUCACCAAGGCAACGAUGCGUAGCCGACCUGAGAGGGUGAUCGGCCACACUGGGACUGAGACACGGCCCAGACUCCUACGGGAGGCAGCAGGAGGGAAUCUUCCGCAAUGGACGCAAGUCUGACGGAGCAACGCCGCGUGAGUGACGAAGGUUUUCGGAUCGUAAAGCUCUGUUGUUAGGGAAGAACAAGUGCCGUUCAAAUAGGGCGGCACCUUGACGGUACCUAACCAGAAAGCCACGGCUAACUACGUG
This 497-nucleotide ribosomal RNA is filed under the name uncultured bacterium. RNAcentral's name for it is "partial 16S ribosomal RNA". It matches the Rfam family "Bacterial small subunit ribosomal RNA", at positions 28 to 507 of the family's 1533-position model. The record is from RNAcentral.